RNAcentral lists this unclassified non-coding RNA (646 nucleotides) under Hevea brasiliensis (rubber tree). Lineage: Eukaryota; Viridiplantae; Streptophyta; Magnoliopsida; Malpighiales; Euphorbiaceae. The record is from RNAcentral.
GUUCCAUGUGCAGCAAUGGGCACUAGUUCAACCACAAGAGAAAUGUGUGAAAAUAAUCCCACAUCAGAUAAUGCAGGCAGUUUUGCUAUUAAUGAGUCUGAAGCUAUGGGCUAUGCUAUUGAAAUGUCUGUUGCUCCAUCAGUGGGAUCUGACACCAUGCUAGAAAAUGUCGGGAGCACAGAGGAAGUCCAAGAUGCCUUAGAAGGCUCGCCUGAACUUAAUGAGCCAACAAAGUUGAGUGUACCUUAUGCAACUGGAGUUCUACAGUUGUGGAAACAAGCUGUUGAGAGUGGGAGUGCAGUUGUUUUGGUUGAUUCAAAUUUGGAUGCUGAUACUGUUUAUCAAACAGCGGUUGACUUUGCCAGGUCUGCUCCACCUAGUCCAGAUUUUAGACAUCGGCCACGGAAGGUAUCAAUUCAACAGUGCGAGAAGCAAGAAAUUGGGGAUUUGCAAGUUAAAGAAGUUACAACUGUUGCUCAGACAGAAGUAAGGGAGAAAAGAAGUUUUAAACUCAAAAGGAGGAAAGAUUCUAGUGAACAAUAUCUGGAUUCUGCACCGCAGGGAAGCCUAGGAGUAGAUGAACUUGCUAAACUACUAGCAUAAUACUUAAUGUUUUCUUCCAUAUUUUACUUGCCAUUGUCUUUGA